UACCAUCCCAGUUCGGAUUGCAGUCCGCAACUCGACUGCAUGAAGCUGGAAUCGCUAGUAAUCGCGGAUCAGAAUGCCGCGGUGAAUACGUUCCCGGGUCUUGUACACACCGCCCGUCACACCAUGGGAGUCGGAUAUGCCCGAAGUCAGUGACCCAACCGCAAGGAGGGAGCUGCCGAAGGUGGAGCCGAUGACUGGGGUGAAGUCGUAACAAGGUACC
Molecule: ribosomal RNA, 220 nt
Filed under: uncultured bacterium
Lineage: Bacteria
Description: partial 16S ribosomal RNA
Rfam family: Bacterial small subunit ribosomal RNA
Source: RNAcentral